This 253-nucleotide ribosomal RNA is filed under the name uncultured bacterium. Its description in RNAcentral is "partial 16S ribosomal RNA". It matches the Rfam family "Bacterial small subunit ribosomal RNA", at positions 524 to 776 of the family's 1533-position model. The record is from RNAcentral.
UACGUAAGGUGCAAGCGUUGUCCGGAAUUAUUGGGCGUAAAGAGCUCGUAGGCGGUUUGUCGCGUCUGCUGUGAAAACUCGGGGCUUAACUCCGGGCCUGCAGUGGGUACGGGCAGACUAGAGUGCGGUAGGGGAGACUGGAAUUCCUGGUGUAGCGGUGAAAUGCGCAGAUAUCAGGAGGAACACCGGUGGCGAAGGCGGGUCUCUGGGCCGUAACUGACGCUGAGGAGCGAAAGCGUGGGGAGCGAACAGG